This 465-nucleotide ribosomal RNA is filed under the name Vreelandella stevensii. Its description in RNAcentral is "partial 16S ribosomal RNA". It matches the Rfam family "Bacterial small subunit ribosomal RNA", at positions 338 to 795 of the family's 1533-position model. Lineage: Bacteria; Pseudomonadati; Pseudomonadota; Gammaproteobacteria; Oceanospirillales; Halomonadaceae. The record is from RNAcentral.
CCUACGGGUGGCAGCAGUGGGGAAUAUUGGACAAUGGGCGAAAGCCUGAUCCAGCCAUGCCGCGUGUGUGAAGAAGGCCUUCGGGUUGUAAAGCACUUUCAGUGGGGAAGAAAGCCUUGGGGCUAAUACCCUCGAGGAAGGACAUCACCCACAGAAGAAGCACCGGCUAACUCCGUGCCAGCAGCUGCGGUAAUACGGAGGGUGCGAGCGUUAAUCGGAAUUACUGGGCGUAAAGCGCGCGUAGGCGGUCUGAUAAGCCGGUUGUGAAAGCCCCGGGCUCAACCUGGGAACGGCAUCCGGAACUGUCAGGCUAGAGUGCAGGAGAGGAAGGUAGAAUUCCCGGUGUAGCGGUGAAAUGCGUAGAGAUCGGGAGGAAUACCAGUGGCGAAGGCGGCCUUCUGGACUGACACUGACGCUGAGGUGCGAAAGCGUGGGUAGCAAACAGGAUUAGAUACCCGGGUAGUC